Molecule: ribosomal RNA, 207 nt
Filed under: uncultured bacterium
Lineage: Bacteria
Description: partial 16S ribosomal RNA
Rfam family: Bacterial small subunit ribosomal RNA
Source: RNAcentral
CACGUAGGCGGAUACUUAAGUUAGGGGUGAAAUCCCAGAGCUCAACUCUGGAACUGCCUCUAAUACUGGGUAUCUCGAGUCCGGAAGAGGUGAGUGGAAUUCCGAGUGUAGAGGUGAAAUUCGUAGAUAUUCGGAGGAACACCAGUGGCGAAGGCGGCUCACUGGUCCGGUACUGACGCUGAGGUGCGAAAGCGUGGGGAGCAAACA